Molecule: long non-coding RNA, 598 nt
Organism: Esox lucius (northern pike)
Lineage: Eukaryota; Metazoa; Chordata; Actinopteri; Esociformes; Esocidae
Source: Ensembl
CCUAAAAUGAACAAUUUUAAUCGUAUUUGCAAGAUAAUUUGCAAGGCUCCAGCUAGCAAGUUGGAUAAAGGAUUUAAGAUGUAUUUAUCGACAUACAUAUACGAUAGCAAAGUGAUUUUCAUUAAAUUACGUCUAGUGAAGUUGGUUCGGGGACAACGCUGAAGUCAUGAUCCAGACGAUGAAUCUCAAAUCGCAUACUACUUGGAGUCAUUACUACAAAUCCACACAAGUCAACACAGUGCAAUUUAGCAAAAUGGUACAAUUGCAUUAACUGGGGUCCAGCCAUUGGCAGAUUCUGUACCAACCUACAGGAAGCCACUACAGAAGAUGAAGUCAUUCAAGCUGAUCCCCUAGAUCCCAGGCUACUGCUGGGCUUCCACAGAGAGCCAAAGUGUCAUGGGAACCAGGGAUGGUGAUGCCAGAGAUCAACUUGUGGUCAUCAAUGGCCUCCAUUAUUCAGAGGGGCUAGUAUACACCACUUUGUUUCCUAAUAACAUAAUAGGACCAAUUAAAAAGUAGAAAUUCAGGUGAGCAUAAUUCCUAUCAAAUCAGUGACAUUAAGCACGAGGAAGGAAUUAAAAGUAUUCUGUGGGUUGUG